CCGGGGCCUGGAGGAGCGGCGGCACUGGCACACCUCCUGCUGGGAGCGCGGCCUGUGGCGCUAGCUCCGGUUCAACGCGGCAGGCCCCGGA
Molecule: transfer RNA, 91 nt
Filed under: Actinomyces capricornis
Lineage: Bacteria; Bacillati; Actinomycetota; Actinomycetes; Actinomycetales; Actinomycetaceae
Description: Actinomyces sp. MAS-1 tRNA-Arg
Source: RNAcentral